This 510-nucleotide ribosomal RNA is filed under the name uncultured bacterium. Its description in RNAcentral is "bacterial SSU rRNA". It matches the Rfam family "Bacterial small subunit ribosomal RNA", at positions 371 to 871 of the family's 1533-position model. The record is from RNAcentral.
AUGGGGGAAACCCUGACGCAGCAACGCCGCGUGUGUGAUGAAGGCCUUCGGGUCGUAAAGCACUGUGAGGUGGAACGAGCCGCCGGGGCGUAAUACCCUUCGGCCCGACGGUACCACCAGAGGAAGCACCGGCUAACCCUGUGCCAGCAGCCGCGGUAAUACAGGGGGUGCAAGCGUUGUUCGGAAUUAUUGGGCGUAAAGCGCGUGUAGGCGGACCAUUAAGUCUGGUGUGAAAUCCCUCGGCUUAACCGAGGACGUGCAUUGGAUACUGGUGGUCUUGAGUCCUGGAGAGGGUAGCGGAAUUCCCAGUGUAGAGGUGAAAUUCGUAGAUAUUGGGAGGAACACCGGUGGCGAAGGCGGCUACCUGGACAGUGACUGACGCUGAGACGCGAAAGCAUGGGGUAGCAAACAGGAUUAGAUACCCUGGUAGUCCAUGCCGUAAACGAUGGGGUGCUAGUUGGUGCGGGUAUUGACCCCUGCGCUGACGAAGCUAACGCGUUAAGCACCCCG